GGGAGCCGGAGGGAAACCGAGUCUUAAUUGGGCGUUAAGUUGCAGGGUAUAGACCCGAAACCCGGUGAUCUAGCCAUGGGCAGGUUGAAGGUUGGGUAACACUAACUGGAGGACCGAACCGACUAAUGUUGAAAAAUUAGCGGAUGACCUGUGGCUGGGGGUGAAAGGCCAAUCAAACCGGGAGAUAGCUGGUUCUCCCCGAAAGCUAUUUAGGUAGCGCCUCGUGAAUUCAUCUCCGGGGGUAGAGCACUGUUUCGGCUAGGGGGCCAUCCCGGCUUACCAACCCGAUGCAAACUGCGAAUACCGGAGAAUGUUAUCACGGGAGACACACGGCGGGUGCUAACGUCCGUCGUGAAGAGGGAAACAACCCAGACCGCCAGCUAAGGUCCCAAAGUCAUGGUUAAGUGGGAAACGAUGUGGGAAGGCCCAGACAGCCAGGAUGUUGGCUUAGAAGCAGCCAUCAUUUAAAGAAAGCGUAAUAGCUCACUGGUCGAGUCGGCCUGCGCGGAAGAUGUAACGGGGCUAAACCAU
This 531-nucleotide ribosomal RNA is filed under the name Salmonella enterica. Its description in RNAcentral is "partial 23S ribosomal RNA". It matches the Rfam family "Bacterial large subunit ribosomal RNA", at positions 661 to 1190 of the family's 2925-position model. RNAcentral also lists the same sequence under 3 other names. Lineage: Bacteria; Pseudomonadati; Pseudomonadota; Gammaproteobacteria; Enterobacterales; Enterobacteriaceae. The record is from RNAcentral.